UACGGAGGGUGCAAGCGUUAUCCGGAUUUACUGGGUUUAAAGGGUGCGUAGGCGGGCUUUUAAGUCAGUGGUGAAAGCUUCGAGCUUAACUCGAAAACUGCCAUUGAUACUAUUAGUCUUGAAUUCAGUUGAGGUCGGCGGAAUGUGUCGUGUAGAGGUGAAAUUCUUAGAUAUGACACAGAACACCAAUUGCGAAGGCAGCUGGCUAAACUGAAAUUGACGCUGAGGCACGAAAGCGUGGGGAU
RNAcentral lists this ribosomal RNA (245 nucleotides) under uncultured Terrimonas sp. Its description in RNAcentral is "partial 16S ribosomal RNA". It matches the Rfam family "Bacterial small subunit ribosomal RNA", at positions 524 to 768 of the family's 1533-position model. The record is from RNAcentral. Lineage: Bacteria; Pseudomonadati; Bacteroidota; Chitinophagia; Chitinophagales; Chitinophagaceae.